GAUGAAGAACGCAGCGAAAUGCGAUAAGUAAUGUGAAUUGCAGAGUUCAGUGAAUCAUCGAAUCUUUGAACGCACAUUGCGCCCGUCAGUAUUCUGGCGGGCAUGCCUGUCUGAGCGUCAUUUCAACCCUCAUGCCCCUAGGGCGUGGUGUUGGGGAUCGGCCAAAGCCCGCGAGGGACGGCCGGCCCCUAAAUCUAGUGGCGGACCCGUCGUGGCCUCCUCUGCGAAGUAGUGAUAUUCCGCAUCGGAGAGCGACGAGCCCCUGCCGUUAAACCCCCAACUUUCCAAGGUUGACCUCAGAUCAGGUAGGAAUACCCGCUGAACUUAAGCAUAUCAAUAAGCGGAGGA
RNAcentral lists this unclassified non-coding RNA (348 nucleotides) under soil metagenome. RNAcentral describes it as "partial contains 5.8S ribosomal RNA, internal transcribed spacer 2, and large subunit ribosomal RNA". The stretch from base 1 to 120 matches the Rfam family "5.8S ribosomal RNA", at positions 35 to 154 of the family's 154-position model. The record is from RNAcentral.